RNAcentral lists this long non-coding RNA (3697 nucleotides) under Drosophila guanche. The record is from RNAcentral. Lineage: Eukaryota; Metazoa; Arthropoda; Insecta; Diptera; Drosophilidae.
GGUCCCCCAUCUAAGUACUAACCGCGCCCGACGCUGCUUAAUUUCGGUGAUCGGACGAGAACCGAUGUAUUCAGCGUAGUAUGGUCGUUGGCGAAAGCCUGAGAGCUGAACGUUGGUUUUGCUCUGUGUUUUGUACAGACUACGUAUAUUUAGUGCAAACGGUUGAAGGAAAUCAAAACAUGUACAAUGGCUAGGAUGUACUGGCUGGGAUGUGUGGCUAUUUAAAGGUAACUUAAAAGGAAAAAUGAGAGAAAAAAUAUAAAAAUCGAAACGAAAAAGGCUAAAAAGGCAAAAAGUUGGUGACGAAGCCAACAACACGCGGUGUUCCCAAGCGGUCCCCCAUCUAAGUACUAACCGCGCCCGACGCUGCUUAAUUUCGGUGAUCGGACGAGAACCGAUGUAUUCAGCGUAGUAUGGUCGUUGGCGAAAGCCUGAGAGCUGAACGUUGGUUUUGCUCUGUGUUUUGUACAGACUACGUAUAUUUAGUGCAAACGGUUGAAGGAAAUCAAAACAUGUACAAUGGCUAGGAUGUACUGGCUGGGAUGUGUGGCUAUUUAAAGGUAACUUAAAAGGAAAAAUGAGAGAAAAAAUAUAAAAAUCGAAACGAAAAAGGCUAAAAAGGCAAAAAGUUGGUGACGAAGCCAACAACACGCGGUGUUCCCAAGCGGUCCCCCAUCUAAGUACUAACCGCGCCCGACGCUGCUUAAUUUCGGUGAUCGGACGAGAACCGAUGUAUUCAGCGUAGUAUGGUCGUUGGCGAAAGCCUGAGAGCUGAACGUUGGUUUUGCUCUGUGUUUUGUACAGACUACGUAUAUUUAGUGCAAACGGUUGAAGGAAAUCAAAACAUGUACAAUGGCUAGGAUGUACUGGCUGGGAUGUGUGGCUAUUUAAAGGUAACUUAAAAGGAAAAAUGAGAGAAAAAAUAUAAAAAUCGAAACGAAAAAGGCUAAAAAGGCAAAAAGUUGGUGACGAAGCCAACAACACGCGGUGUUCCCAAGCGGUCCCCCAUCUAAGUACUAACCGCGCCCGACGCUGCUUAAUUUCGGUGAUCGGACGAGAACCGAUGUAUUCAGCGUAGUAUGGUCGUUGGCGAAAGCCUGAGAGCUGAACGUUGGUUUUGCUCUGUGUUUUGUACAGACUACGUAUAUUUAGUGCAAACGGUUGAAGGAAUCGAAACAUCUACAAUGGCUAGGAUAUACUGGCUGGGAUUUGUGGCUAUGAGAGUAAAGGCAAUUCAAAAGGAAAAAUGAGAGAAAAAAUAUAAAAAUCGAAACGAAAAAGGCUAAAAAGGCAAAAAGUUGGUGACGAAGCCAACAACACGCGGUGUUCCCAAGCGGUCCCCCAUCUAAGUACUAACCGCGCCCGACGCUGCUUAAUUUCGGUGAUCGGACGAGAACCGAUGUAUUCAGCGUAGUAUGGUCGUUGGCGAAAGCCUGAGAGCUGAACGUUGGUUUUGCUCUGUGUUUUGUACAGACUACGUAUAUUUAGUGCAAACGGUUGAAGGAAAUCAAAACAUGUACAAUGGCUAGGAUGUACUGGCUGGGAUGUGUGGCUAUUUAAAGGUAACUUAAAAGGAAAAAUGAGAGAAAAAAUAUAAAAAUCGAAACGAAAAAGGCUAAAAAGGCANAAUAAAAUCGAAACGAAAAAGGCUAAAAAGGCAAAAAGUUGGUGACGAAGCCAACAACACGCGGUGUUCCCAAGCGGUCCCCCAUCUAAGUACUAACCGCGCCCGACGCUGCUUAAUUUCGGUGAUCGGACGAGAACCGAUGUAUUCAGCGUAGUAUGGUCGUUGGCGAAAGCCUGAGAGCUGAACGUUGGUUUUGCUCUGUGUUUUGUACAGACUACGUAUAUUUAGUGCAAACGGUUGAAGGAAAUCAAAACAUGUACAAUGGCUAGGAUGUACUGGCUAUUUAAAGGUAACUUAAAAGGAAAAAUGAGAGAAAAAAUAUAAAAAUCGAAACGAAAAAGGCUAAAAAGGCAAAAAGUUGGUGACGAAGCCAACAACACGCGGUGUUCCCAAGCGGUCCCCCAUCUAAGUACUAACCGCGCCCGACGCUGCUUAAUUUCGGUGAUCGGACGAGAACCGAUGUAUUCAGCGUAGUAUGGUCGUUGGCGAAAGCCUGAGAGCUGAACGUUGGUUUUGCUCUGUGUUUUGUACAGACUACGUAUAUUUAGUGCAAACGGUUGAAGGAAAUCAAAACAUGUACAAUGGCUAGGAUGUACUGGCUGGGAUGUGUGGCUAUUUAAAGGUAACUUAAAAGGAAAAAUGAGAGAAAAAAUAUAAAAGUCGAAACGAAAAAGGCUAAUAAAGGCAAAAAGUUGGUGACGAAGCCAACAACACGCGGUGUUCCCAAGCGGUCCCCCAUCUAAGUACUAACCGCGCCCGACGCUGCUUAAUUUCGGUGAUCGGACGAGAACCGAUGUAUUCAGCGUAGUAUGGUCGUUGGCGAAAGCCUGAGAGCUGAACGUUGGUUUUGCUCUGUGUUUUGUACAGACUACGUAUAUUUAGUGCAAACGGUUGAAGGAAUCGAAACAUCUACAAUGGCUAGGAUAUACUGGCUGGGAUUUGUGGCUAUGAGAGUAAAGGCAAUUCAAAAGGAAAAAUGAGAGAAAAAAUAUAAAAAUCGAAACGAAAAAGGCUAAAAAGGCAAAAAGUUGGUGACGAAGCCAACAACACGCGGUGUUCCCAAGCGGUCCCCCAUCUAAGUACUAACCGCGCCCGACGCUGCUUAAUUUCGGUGAUCGGACGAGAACCGAUGUAUUCAGCGUAGUAUGGUCGUUGGCGAAAGCCUGAGAGCUGAACGUUGGUUUUGCUCUGUGUUUUGUACAGACUACGUAUAUUUAGUGCAAACGGUUGAAGGAAAUCAAAACAUGUACAAUGGCUAGGAUGUACUGGCUGGGAUGUGUGGCUAUUUAAAGGUAACUUAAAAGGAAAAAUGAGAGAAAAAAUAUAAAAAUCGAAACGAAAAAGGCUAAAAAGGCAAAAAGUUGGUGACGAAGCCAACAACACGCGGUGUUCCCAAGCGGUCCCCCAUCUAAGUACUAACCGCGCCCGACGCUGCUUAAUUUCGGUGAUCGGACGAGAACCGAUGUAUUCAGCGUAGUAUGGUCGUUGGCGAAAGCCUGAGAGCUGAACGUUGGUUUUGCUCUGUGUUUUGUACAGACUACGUAUAUUUAGUGCAAACAGUUGAAGGAAUCGAAACAUCUACAAUGGCUAGGAUAUACUGGCUGGGAUUUGUGGCUAUGAGAGUAAAGGCAAUUCAAAAGGAAAAAUGAGAGAAAAAAUAUAAAAAUCGAAACGAAAAAGGCUAAAAAGGCAAAAAGUUGGUGACGAAGCCAACAACACGCGGUGUUCCCAAGCGGUCCCCCAUCUAAGUACUAACCGCGCCCGACGCUGCUUAAUUUCGGUGAUCGGACGAGAACCGAUGUAUUCAGCGUAGUAUGGUCGUUGGCGAAAGCCUGAGAGCUGAACGUUGGUUUUGCUCUGUGUUUUGUACAGACUACGUAUAUUUAGUGCAAACAGUUGAAGGAAUCGAAACAUCUACAAUGGCUAGGAUAUACUGGCUGGGAUUUGUGGCUAUAAGAGUAAAGGCAAUUCAAAAGGAAAAAUGAGAGAAAAAAUAUAAAAAUCGAAACGAAAAAGGCUAAAAAGGCAAAAAGUUGGUGACGAAGCCAACAACACGCGGUGUUCCCAAGC